Molecule: ribosomal RNA, 855 nt
Filed under: Syntrophobacterales bacterium CG23_combo_of_CG06-09_8_20_14_all_48_27
Lineage: Bacteria; Pseudomonadati; Thermodesulfobacteriota; Syntrophobacteria; Syntrophobacterales
Description: bacterial LSU rRNA
Rfam family: Bacterial large subunit ribosomal RNA
Source: RNAcentral
UAUGGUCAAGCUAAUAAGGGCGCAAGGUGGAUGCCUUGGUGCCAGGAAGCGAUGAAAGACGUGGUUAGCUGCGAUAAGCCUUGGGAAGCCGCUAAACAGGCUUAGAUCCNNNNNNNNNNUGAAACAUCUAAGUACCUUCAGGAAUAGAAAGCAACAGCGAUUCCCUGAGUAGUGGUGAGCGAAACGGGAAGAGCCUAAACCAGCUUUGCGUGAUAGCCUGCAAGCGUUGCAGAGUUGGGGUUGUGGGACUUUAUCGGAGGAGGUUGCAGUCUCCUCGGAAAGUUACAAAACUUGUCUAUAGCUGAAUCUGCUGGAAAGCAGGGUCGUAGAGGGUGAUAGCCCCGUAAGCGAAAUGGGCGAGUCUUUCUGGAUAAAGAUCCCAAGUACCGCGGGACACGAGAAAUCUUGCGGGAAUCAGGGAGGACCAUCUCCUAAGGCUAAAUAUUACCUGGCAACCGAUAGUGAACAAGUACCGUGAGGGAAAGGUGAAAAGUACUCCGGGAGGAGAGUGAAAUAGUACCUGAAACCUUGUGCCUACAAGCUGUGGAAGGACCAUGGAGAUGUAAGAGGGGUAACCCUUUUGCUGAUCCGGUCUAACUGCGUGCCUUUUGCAUAAUGAGUCAGCGAGUUACUUCUAUGUAGCGAGGUUAAGCCGUUAGGUGGAGCCGUAGCGAAAGCGAGUCUUAAUAGGGCGAUUUAGUUGCAUGGAGUAGACCCGAAACCAAGUGAUCUAUCCAUGGCCAGGGUGAAGCGUAUGUAACAGUCCGUGGAGGCCCGAACCGGUGUAGGUUGAAAACUGCUCGGAUGAGCUGUGGAUAGGGGUGAAAGGCCAAUCAAACUUGGAAAUAGCUGGUU